RNAcentral lists this ribosomal RNA (253 nucleotides) under uncultured bacterium. RNAcentral's name for it is "partial 16S ribosomal RNA". It matches the Rfam family "Bacterial small subunit ribosomal RNA", at positions 524 to 776 of the family's 1533-position model. The record is from RNAcentral.
UACGAGGGGUGCAAGCGUUAAUUGGAAUUACUGGGCGUAAAGCGCGCGUAGGUGGUUCGUUAAGUUGGAUGUGAAAGCCCCGGGCUCAACCUGGGAACUGCAUCCAAAACUGGCGAGCUAGAGUACGGUAGAGGGUGGUGGAAUUUCCUGUGUAGCGGUGAAAUGCGUAGAUAUAGGAAGGAACACCAGUGGCGAAGGCGACCACCUGGACUGAUACUGACACUGAGGUGCGAAAGCGUGGGGAGCAAACAGG